CGUAAAGACGCAUGCAGGCGGCCUCGUUAAGUCAGAUCGUGAAAGACCCGGGGCUUAACCUCGGAAUUGCAUUUGAAACUGGCAGGCUAGAGUCUUGUAGAGGGGGGUAGGAAUUUCAGGUGUAGCGGUGAAAUAGCGUAGAGAUCUGAACGGAAUACCAGUGGCGAAGGCGGCCCCCUCGGACAAAGACUGACGCUCAGACUGCGAAAGCGUGGGGAGCCAAACAGGAUUAGAUACCCCUGGUAG
Molecule: ribosomal RNA, 246 nt
Filed under: uncultured bacterium
Lineage: Bacteria
Description: partial 16S ribosomal RNA
Rfam family: Bacterial small subunit ribosomal RNA
Source: RNAcentral